GAAUGCAGCCCAAAGCGGGUGGUAAACU
RNAcentral lists this non-coding RNA (28 nucleotides) under Homo sapiens (human). Lineage: Eukaryota; Metazoa; Chordata; Mammalia; Primates; Hominidae. RNAcentral also lists the same sequence under 1 other name. The record is from RNAcentral.